RNAcentral lists this ribosomal RNA (440 nucleotides) under Pseudomonas aeruginosa. RNAcentral describes it as "bacterial SSU rRNA". It matches the Rfam family "Bacterial small subunit ribosomal RNA", at positions 30 to 471 of the family's 1533-position model. Lineage: Bacteria; Pseudomonadati; Pseudomonadota; Gammaproteobacteria; Pseudomonadales; Pseudomonadaceae. The record is from RNAcentral.
AUUGAACGCUGGCGGCAGGCCUAACACAUGCAAGUCGAGCGGAUGAAGGGAGCUUGCUCCUGGAUUCAGCGGCGGACGGGUGAGUAAUGCCUAGGAAUCUGCCUGGUAGUGGGGGAUAACGUCCGGAAACGGGCGCUAAUACCGCAUACGUCCUGAGGGAGAAAGUGGGGGAUCUUCGGACCUCACGCUAUCAGAUGAGCCUAGGUCGGAUUAGCUAGUUGGUGGGGUAAAGGCCUACCAAGGCGACGAUCCGUAACUGGUCUGAGAGGAUGAUCAGUCACACUGGAACUGAGACACGGUCCAGACUCCUACGGGAGGCAGCAGUGGGGAAUAUUGGACAAUGGGCGAAAGCCUGAUCCAGCCAUGCCGCGUGUGUGAAGAAGGUCUUCGGAUUGUAAAGCACUUUAAGUUGGGAGGAAGGGCAGUAAGUUAAUACCUUG